UGUCCAGGGAUGGGAGCCGAACCCACAAUGUUCCGCUUACCGGGCAGAUGCCAUGUCCACUAGGCUACCCUAGAC
Molecule: non-coding RNA, 75 nt
Organism: Cordylochernes scorpioides
Lineage: Eukaryota; Metazoa; Arthropoda; Arachnida; Pseudoscorpiones; Chernetidae
Source: the annotation of a GenBank genome assembly